UGUCCCCUGCGGUGCGCGUCAAGGUCAUACAUUCCUUGAACCAAUGCUAAUUGGCAUCAGGUUGUCCGCCAAAACGCCGCUGUUGUGAGCGCCCCCAGUCGGGCGCACCUGAAGUGGCUGGCAGGCAGCCGUCUUGGACCCCCGGUUCAGGAUGCCGACCUAACGGCACAGGCGGGGGCCCA
RNAcentral lists this non-coding RNA (182 nucleotides) under Azospira inquinata. Its description in RNAcentral is "6S / SsrS RNA". It matches the Rfam family "6S / SsrS RNA". Rfam says of the family: E. coli 6S RNA was the first non coding RNA to be sequenced, but its function was unknown until recently. It consists of 184 nucleotides that fold into an extended hairpin structure with a large single-stranded internal bulge. The record is from Rfam by way of RNAcentral. Lineage: Bacteria; Pseudomonadati; Pseudomonadota; Betaproteobacteria; Rhodocyclales; Rhodocyclaceae.